CAGGACGAACGCUGGCGGCGUGCUUAACACAUGCAAGUCGAACGGGAGUAUUGAAGAAGCUUGCUUAGAGAUACUUUAGUGGCGGACGGGUGAGUAACGCGUGAGGAGCUGUCCUAUGCAGGGGGACAACAGCUGGAAACGGCUGCUAAUACCCCAUAAGCCGAGAGGUAAAAGGAUCAAUCCGGCAGAGGAGGUACUCGCGUCCUAUCAGCUAGUAGGUGAGGUAACGGCUCACCUAGGCGAAGACGGGUAGCCGGCCUGAGAGGGCGAACGGCCACACUGGAACUGAGAUACGGUCCAGACUCCUACGGGAGGCAGCAGUGGGGAAUAUUGGGCAAUGGGGGGAAAAACCCCCUGACCCAGCGACGCCGCGUGGGUGAAGAAAUCCUUCGGGAUGUAAAGCCCUGUUGUAUGGGAAGAGCGGAAGACGGUACCAUACGAGGAAGCCCCGGCAAACUACGUGCCAGCAGCGGC
This 474-nucleotide ribosomal RNA is filed under the name uncultured bacterium. RNAcentral describes it as "bacterial SSU rRNA". It matches the Rfam family "Bacterial small subunit ribosomal RNA", at positions 25 to 518 of the family's 1533-position model. The record is from RNAcentral.